GCUUAGGGCUAAGGGGGCUAGCGGAUGGAAGUGCUAGUCUAAGGUCGUAGGAGGUUAUACAGGCAAAUCCGUAUAACAAUACUCCGAGAACUGAAAGGCUUUUUGAAGUCUUCGGAUGGAUAGAAGAACCCCUGAUGCCGUCGAGCCAAGAAAAGUUUCUAAGUUUAGCUAAUGUUGCCCGUACCGUAAACCGACACAGGUGGGUGGGAUGAGUAUUCUAAGGCGCGUGGAAGAACUCUCUUUAAGGAACUCUGCAAAAUAGCACCGUAUCUUCGGUAUAAGGUGUGGUUAGCUUCGUACUAGGAUUUACUCCGAAAGCGAAGAAACUUACAACAAAGAGUCCCUCCCGACUGUUUACCAAAAACACAGCACUCUGCUAACUCGUAAGAGGAUGUAUAGGGUGUGACGCCUGCCCGGUGCUCGAAGGUUAAUUGAUGGGGUUAGCAUUAGCGAAGCUCUUGAUCGAAGCCCGAGUAAACGGCGGCCGUAACUAUAACGGUCCUAAGGUAGCGAAAUUCCUUGUCGGUUAAAUACCGACCUGCAUGAAUGGCGUAACGAGAUGGGAGCUGUCUCAAAGAGGGAUCCAGUGAAAUUGUAGUGGAGGUGAAAAUUCCUCCUACCCGCGGCAAGACGGAAAGACCCCGUGGACCUUUACUACAGCUUGACACUGCUACUUGGAUAAGAAUGUGCAGGAUAGGUGGGAGGCUUUGAGUAUAUGACGCCAGUUGUAUAUGAGCCAUUGUUGAGAUACCACUCUUUCUUAUUUGGGUAGCUAACCAGCUUGAGUUAUCCUCAAGUGGGACAAUGUCUGGUGGGUAGUUUGACUGGGGCGGUCGCCUCCCAAAUAAUAACGGAGGCUUACAAAGGUUGGCUCAGAACGGUUGGAAAUCGUUCGUAGAGUAUAAAGGUAUAAGCCAGCUUAACUGCAAGACAUACAAGUCAAGCAGAGACGAAAGUCGGUCUUAGUGAUCCGGUGGUUCUGUGUGGAAGGGCCAUCGCUCAAAGGAUAAAAGGUACCCCGGGGAUAACAGGCUGAUCUCCCCCAAGAGCUCACAUCGACGGGGAGGUUUGGCACCUCGAUGUCGGCUCAUCGCAUCCUGGGGCUGGAGCAGGUCCCAAGGGUAUGGCUGUUCGCCAUUUAAAGCGGUACGCGAGCUGGGUUCAGAACGUCGUGAGACAGUUCGGUCCCUAUCUGCCGUGGGCGUAAGAAGAUUGAAGAGAUUUGACCCUAGUACGAGAGGACCGGGUUGAACAAACCACUGGUGUAGCUGUUGUUCUGCCAAGAGCAUCGCAGCGUAGCUAAGUUUGGAAAGGAUAAACGCUGAAAGCAUCUAAGCGUGAAGCCAACUCUAAGAUGAAUCUUCUCUAAGCUCUCUAGAAGACUACUAGUUUGAUAGGCUGGGUGUGUAAUGGAUGAAAGUCCUUUAGCUGACCAGUACUAAUAGAGCGUUUGGCUUAUCUUUAAUAAAGCAU
This 1473-nucleotide ribosomal RNA is filed under the name Campylobacter jejuni. RNAcentral describes it as "partial 23S ribosomal RNA". It matches the Rfam family "Bacterial large subunit ribosomal RNA", at positions 1474 to 2925 of the family's 2925-position model. Lineage: Bacteria; Pseudomonadati; Campylobacterota; Epsilonproteobacteria; Campylobacterales; Campylobacteraceae. The record is from RNAcentral.